GUUUACAAUUUCAUAUUAUCCGCUCUCUCUUAUUUACUCUUGUUUAGUUUGCUUGAUUAUAUAAUUGUUAUGCAACUUUCUUAGCCUACCCUUAACCCGAUCCCUUGGCGAAAAGAGCCUAAUACUAAUUACUGGCAGCAAAAAUAGCUGCCCGGCGGUUUGCCUCAAGCUGCAGAACCGCCCGGCGCCCCGGUCAACUGCCCAACGGUUUGGUUAACUUUUUCUGGUUGACUGGUUGACUUUUUUGGUUGAUCGGUUGACUUUUCUGCACUGCAACCAUUUGAACUU
RNAcentral lists this long non-coding RNA (288 nucleotides) under Vigna radiata. RNAcentral describes it as "long non-coding RNA (VRAD_LNC017586)". Lineage: Eukaryota; Viridiplantae; Streptophyta; Magnoliopsida; Fabales; Fabaceae. The record is from RNAcentral.